GACGAACGCUGGCGGCGCGCUUAACACAUGCAAGUCGUGCGGUGUCGAAGGCAAGUCUUACGACAAGCCUUCGACACAGCGGCGAACGGGUGAGUAACACGUGAGUAGCUGUCCUAAGGAGGGGGAGUAACGCCUGGAAACGGGUGCUAACACCCCACUAUGCCUCGCAAGAGGUGAAAGUGUACUUGCUACAGCCUUAGGGUGUGCUCGCGGCCUAUCAGCUAGUUGGUGAGGGUAACGGCUCACCAAGGCCAAGACGGGUAGCCGGCCUGAGAGGGUGUACGGCCACACUGGAACUGAAACACGGUCCAUACAUCUACGGAUGGCAGCAGUAGGGAAUAUUGGUUAAUGGGCGAAAGCCUGAACCAGCAACGCCGCGUGUGUGAUGACGGCCUUCGGGUUGUAAAACACUUUUUAAGGGAACGAGGAAGGACGGUACCCUUAGAAUAAGUCUCGGCUAACUACGUG
Molecule: ribosomal RNA, 468 nt
Filed under: uncultured bacterium
Lineage: Bacteria
Description: bacterial SSU rRNA
Rfam family: Bacterial small subunit ribosomal RNA
Source: RNAcentral